AAAAGUCUCAAGAACAAAACCCUUAUUUUUUACACUUUUCUUCUUCAUCGACCCUCAUCAAUUGAAAAUCAUCAGUUACAAAAUGCCACGAUUGGAAAAACUGAAUCGUCCUUUGCUUUACACUGCUCCUACAAUCGCCAUUAAAUACCUUGAUUUUGACAUUUCAUCCAUUUCAUUACGUUCAUCCCCCUCUGUUUCCAUCGCAUCCCUUGUUAAGAACCACUCAAUGGAGAUCAGCGCUCAUAAUUGGGUCUGCAUAGGCAGCGCCGACGACGAUGGUCUAUGGUUUCAAUAGUCGGCGGUAGUCGGUGGCAAGGGACUGCACCUGGUCUGGUUCGUUAAAUAAACUGUCGAUUUACCCCUAGAUUUUGAAGGAAACAAUAAGAUGAAUGAGUGGAUUGGUUUGGGUGGUUGGCAAAGAUGGGGCCGCAAAAGAGUUGACUGAACAACAAGCUAGGCAGCUUCAUUUUGACCUAGAAUCGUCUUAUUAUUCAUUUACGGCUUCAUUGCCAACAACCGGGGAUGAGUCUUCUGAAAUAGAGCUGCAGUGUUGAUGGACAAACAAGCUGUUGAAGAGCUUGCAAAAGCCAUAGCUUUUAAACCCGAGCUACAAAUGUUGCACCUUCAAGAAACAUUCUGUGAGUCAAUGAUUGAUUAUUAUGUAGCUUUAAGAGAUUGUGAAGCAGCACUCUGUUUAGAUCCUAAUCACCAAGAGACGCUCGAACUUUAUAAACAAACACUAAAGGAAUCUGCUGAAGGUGGUUUCAAGGGUGUACAAACACAUUUAUGUCCUCCAUUGGUUUUUUCAUGACUACAGAUUCGCGCUCGACAAAAUUGGUUAAUAUUGAUUUAUUUGAUCGAUGAUUAUUUUCUUAGUUUGAUUGCAUUUUGCUUGAUAUUAGGACUGGUUCGAAAGCUACUUUCGGUAUUAGAAAAGUACAACUACAUCCAAUUUUAUAGCAAGUAAUCAAGUAUUAGAAAAUUCAAUUUUGUGUUUGUAAAGCAUGACUAUAGAGAUAUAGUUCAUUUAAAGUUAUUGCCCGAAUCUUGUGUGUGUUUUG
Molecule: long non-coding RNA, 1061 nt
Organism: Helianthus annuus (common sunflower)
Lineage: Eukaryota; Viridiplantae; Streptophyta; Magnoliopsida; Asterales; Asteraceae
Exons: 3
Source: RefSeq, a predicted model, not a curated record